Long non-coding RNA from Rosa rugosa (rugosa rose), 1175 nucleotides. RefSeq lists it as uncharacterized. The transcript is spliced from 4 exons. Lineage: Eukaryota; Viridiplantae; Streptophyta; Magnoliopsida; Rosales; Rosaceae. The record is from RefSeq and is a predicted model, not a curated record.
AAUGAGUUUGAAAUUUGUUCAAUUUUGGGAAAUUAGUGAUUUUGAUCAAGUUUAGAUUUUGCUUUGGUGUGCUUACUGUUCAAUUUAUAUAAUGCUGGCAGACAAUCUCAGUUGAAGGACAAAAGAAAAACCUCCAGACUGACUACAUUUUGAAGUAAAUUUCUGUACUAAAUAUUGGUUUUCAUAUAGAUAUUUAUCUUUGAGGUUGGGUCCUGUCUCACAUUUAUGUACUGAUAGAAGCUUCGCCAGUGAAACGGAAGAUAUUGGUUCGAGUAAUUCUCAAGAGGGUGGAAAGUUCAAUGAUUAUUCACCAUCUAUAAGUAAGGAGUUCUGUUUCUUUCCUACUAAGACUGCUUAUGAUCCCUCUGAGUCCACUUCAAGCAUGUGGAAUUCAGAGGGUGAAGAUCGGAGUUUGGAGCCAACUUUAAAGAAGCGCAAAGCAACUUUUAGAAACAAUGAAGAGGAUGGGCAAUUUUUCUGCCAGCCACCUGGCCAGCCCAACAAGUUUCCUGGUCGAUUUACAGGGCCAGGUUUACUAAAUAUCCUUUCGUAAGCUUCAUGGCAGCCAUCUUUCUCAAAUGAUUGUAAACCAACACAACCUUCACAUACCUGAGAUGACUGUAACAGAAAUAAUCAAAUUUUCAGCCUGCUGUUAAUGUCUUGGAAGCAGAGCUGAUAUAAUGCUACAGGUCAGCAGGAGAGAAAAGAAAGAAGGAAUUGCUGCUGAUCCAAAUAUUGACACUAAAAUGAAGAUGGGUUCACAGUUCAAGGGUAAGAUACUAGAAGAUAACAUGGUUGGCAUUCUAAAGCAAUGGCACGGUGAUGUGAGGAGGAAAAGGAAGAAGGAAGAACAAGAAUCACAAUCUGCACACGUCUUCUUCCAUGGAAUGGAGCUCCAUGAGGCACAACAUAUGUAUAUGCAGAUUUCUUUACUUCUGGUAUGAAUCAAAUUAGUUAUAUAUAUUUGAAGCCUACUUAGUGUAACAACAACUUUGAAGAAUUGGUCAAAACAAUAGAGUACGGCAUUUUGGAUCUUUAUUCCCCUUUAAUGAGAUGGACUUUUGGUGUAUUGUAGAUUACUUGUAUUGUAUUUUGGAUGAUGUUGGCUAGGUUUAGAGUUGGAACUAUGGAUUGUAUUUUGGAUGAUGUUGAUGCAAUUAAUGAAACGUAGCCAU